AUUUAGUUGAAUAGACAGAUUAAUCCUCAAAUUUGAAAAAUAAGAAAAAAAAUAUAAAAAAGAAAAAAAAAGUAGUAGAUACCAACUAAAGAAAGAGUUGACUUAAGACCAAAGUUGCUACCCAAGUCAACGUACAUCACUGGUCAACCGACUUAGCUAAGAUCAUCAUGGAAGGUGUUGAGCUCAACAAAGUACAAAAGCAUUAUUGACCCCAAAAAUUCAAAGAUCAGAUAAUCGGAUAUGAAAAUUUUUACGUUCACCAACCAUCAAGAGAUGUGUCAGCUUACCUAACUCAUCAGCUUCUCCACCUAUAUAACCACUUAUCCAUUCCAUCCCAACUAAGAGACUAACUCGUGUUACUCUUCCAAACUUCUAGCUCAUCUACAAAACUAACUUGAUCGGUCGUGGUGGAACCAAUCACAACCCUACCACCAAUAGUUCAGCUCACCAAGCUCUUGUUUAGCAGAUUUUCCAAUAGUUGCUAGUUCAGCGCCUUGACCAGAAAAAACACGAGUUUCGAUCUCAGCAUAUUGGUACCAUAUACGGGGAAUGGCAUAGUUUUCCAAAAAUACCAUGGUACUAUACUAGUAGUAGUACAGUGUUGCUCAUUCUGUAAAGCAAUCUCCUGGUUUAAAGGCUCUGCUGAUGUUUCAACAUUCACUGUAUAUCUCAAUGUUAUUCCUUGUAACAAACUUCACUAAUUCUGCUGGUAAACCAGAUCCAUUUCAGGAUAUGCUACAAACUGUCUGCAAAUUUACCAGUAUUGGAUGAGUUAACGAAGAUUAUAGACAGAACAUGCAACAAAUAUACCAUGUAUGUGAUGUUACACUAGAAUAAUGCUUCUUCUUUCCCCCCUUUUUCUCUGUGUUUUCUGGUUUCAUGGUACAAAUACUGCUUGUUAAGACAUUCUUGAAUCAAAAAUCAAUAAUGAAUAGCCAAAUGUCACGACCAGCAUGGGAUAUGAUUGAUGUGUUCUGCUAAAAACAAAAGAACAAAAAUAGAACUCGGGCAGCAGCACUAUCUCCAAUCUGAACAAAACAAAGUGAAAUUGAUAAUAGGAUUUAUGAAUUGUUCUUCACUAUUUAUUCAGAUUAAUAAUAUACUACUUGAUGAAUAUGUCGUUGAUCAAUGUUUAAUGAGCCGCCAUGCCUCGUAUGAUGAUCAUGAUUGUGAAACGAGAAGGUUCGUUUCUUCCUCCUCGAAUCUUUCUAGCCAUCUAAAUCUCAGAUCACAUCCAGAUUUGUCAGCUAUCUCGAAUUGUUCUCUUGCCAUUCAACUGGAUUAAGUUCGAGGCUUCCAGCAUUCUUCCUUGAUUUUCUGUUGGAGGAUCCUCUUUUUGCAUUGAAUUUGGUUAGUAAUUGAGGAACUGGAACACCUAAAACAUUUGUUACAAAUUACCAAUUCAUAAACGUGGAAAAAAAAAUUAUGAAAGAUUAACAAGGACCCCUUGGGGGAAAUCGGAAGUAACAAGCUUCAAGGAGAAUGAACUGCCACACCAUGAAAGAACUAGUAGGUAGCUGUCCUCAAUGCAUUAAGGACAUGUUUUUUACAUAGUACUGGAUAGGAUUAGACAUUACGAUAAACAAAAUUUUUAGCUUUCUUUUUCUUCUUCAAUACUAGCGAAAGUCCAGUAGCCGAAAACAUCUCUAACUUACGUUUUUACUUGAGUGAAAUGAUUUCAUAAAAAUUCUCGUAGAAUCGAGAAUAAAG
RNAcentral lists this long non-coding RNA (1710 nucleotides) under Olea europaea subsp. europaea. Lineage: Eukaryota; Viridiplantae; Streptophyta; Magnoliopsida; Lamiales; Oleaceae. The record is from RNAcentral.